This 70-nucleotide transfer RNA is filed under the name Lygodactylus nigropunctatus. RNAcentral's name for it is "tRNA-Tyr". Lineage: Eukaryota; Metazoa; Chordata; Lepidosauria; Squamata; Gekkonidae. The record is from RNAcentral.
GGUAAUGUGGCCGAGACUCAGGCGGCGAGUUGUAGCCUCGCCCACCGGGAUGAACCCGCAGUACCAAGCC